RNAcentral lists this unclassified non-coding RNA (432 nucleotides) under soil metagenome. Its description in RNAcentral is "partial contains 5.8S ribosomal RNA, internal transcribed spacer 2, and large subunit ribosomal RNA". The stretch from base 1 to 120 matches the Rfam family "5.8S ribosomal RNA", at positions 35 to 154 of the family's 154-position model. The record is from RNAcentral.
GAUGAAGAACGCAGCGAAAUGCGAUACGUAAUGUGAAUUGCAGAAUUCAGUGAAUCAUCGAAUCUUUGAACGCAUAUUGCGCUCUCUGGUAUUCCGGAGAGCAUGCUUGUUUGAGUAUCAGUAAACACCUCAACUUCCAUAUCUUUUUUGAAAUGGGAGUUGGACUUGAGUGAUCCCAACGCUUUUCCUCACCGAAAAGUGGCGGGUUACUUGAAAUGCAGGUGCAGCUGGACUUUUCUCUGAGCUAUAAGCAUAUCUAUUUAGUCUGCCUAAAAAACAGAUUAUUACCUUUGCUGCAGCUAACAUAAAGGAGAUUAGUUCUUGUGCUGACUGAUGCAGGAUUCACAAAGACGGCUUCGGCCGACUUUGUAAACUCGAUCUCAAAUCAAGUAAGACUACCCGCUGAACUUAAGCAUAUCAAUGAGCGGAGGA